UAAUAAGUGUUUUAUUGGCACUUUUUAAAUCCAUAUCCACCUUGUGUGCAAUGUCAGUCGAUCUUCUUCAUGGAGAUCGACCAAACAUCAACCUUUAUCUUUUAACUCUUUGUCUGAAAAAUAUUAUGAAUAAACAAUUCAAAAUA
This 146-nucleotide unclassified non-coding RNA is filed under the name soil metagenome. RNAcentral describes it as "partial internal transcribed spacer 1". The record is from RNAcentral.